This is a long non-coding RNA of Salvia miltiorrhiza (redroot sage), 796 nucleotides long. RefSeq lists it as uncharacterized. The record is from RefSeq and is a predicted model, not a curated record. Lineage: Eukaryota; Viridiplantae; Streptophyta; Magnoliopsida; Lamiales; Lamiaceae. The transcript is spliced from 4 exons.
UUGAACGAUUUUUUAAAGAUAUAUACUACUAUAAAAAAUCCUAAGUAAUUAAAUAAAUUUCCCCUAAAAACAAAUAAGGUUACGAAUACUCUCAAUACUAGCAGUACUCAGCGCUGAAAUUAACUUCUGAUAACCGCCGCGGCUAUCUAGAGCACUUUCUUCCUCCACGGCCGGGGGUCACUGUCUGUCCCUGCGCGAUUGCCGGUCACUGUUGCUCACGGCGCAGCCGCUUUCCCCUACCUUAGUGGCUAUUUCUCUGUCAAGUCAGUUACUCUCUUGGACGCCUUAACUCCCCCGCCCCAUUCUCUUGGCGCUGCGAUUGAAGCUCGCCUCCGUCAGGCCGUUGUUCGAAAAUCAUUGCGAUAGAGCUUUGUGCCACUGCCACCGUGCCGUCAUCGACGUCAACGUGCUCCGCCUCCGUCGUUGACAUUGUUGCUGCCACUGUGUCCUGUUGUCUCCCCCUUCGUUCUUAUAAGAAUCUGGAAUAGUGAAAUGCUCUUGCAGAAAGAAAUUGCCUGUUUAUUGAAGUUUUCAACUUUUGGAUGCAUUUUCAUUCCCUGAUAUGUAGUGGUGAAGGCAAAGAAGACAAUAUUGGACAUAUUGAUUUAUGCAUCACAUUUUGAAGGAACGAAGGAGGAACAAGUGUUAACUCAUUUGAAUGUUAGGAUUGAACUUAUUUGGUAGUGGAUCCACACAUUUUAGUUUUAGUUAUUGUUAGAAUUUGGUCGAAUCUUUAAGUUGUAAUGAAUAUUGAAAUUUUAUAAUGAUUAUGUUAUAAAUGAAAAUGAUUUUCUCA